This 345-nucleotide ribosomal RNA is filed under the name uncultured bacterium. RNAcentral describes it as "partial 16S ribosomal RNA". It matches the Rfam family "Bacterial small subunit ribosomal RNA", at positions 338 to 681 of the family's 1533-position model. The record is from RNAcentral.
CCUACGGGAGGCAGCAGUGAGGAAUAUUGGUCAAUGGACGAGAGUCUGAACCAGCCAAGUAGCGUGAAGGAUGACUGCCCUAUGGGUUGUAAACUUCUUUUAUAGGGGAAUAAAAUGUUCCACGUGUGGGAUGUUGUAUGUACCAUAUGAAUAAGGAUCGGCUAACUCCGUGCCAGCAGCCGCGGUAAUACGGAGGAUGCGAGCGUUAUCCGGAUUUAUUGGGUUUAAAGGGUGCGUAGGCGGAAUAUCAAGUCAGCGGUCAAAAUUCGGGGCUCAACCCCGUCGUGCCGUUGAAACUGAUGUUCUUGAGUGGGCGAGAAGUAUGCGGAAUGCGUGGUGUAGCGG